CAGUAUCCGCGGGAAUACGGAGGGUGCAAGCGUUAAUCGGAAUUACUGGGCGUAAAGCGCACGCAGGCGGUUUGUUAAGUCAGAUGUGAAAUCCCCGAGCUUAACUUGGGAACUGCAUUUGAAACUGGCAAGCUAGAGUCUUGUAGAGGGGGGUAGAAUUCCAGGUGUAGCGGUGAAAUGCGUAGAGAUCUGGAGGAAUACCGGUGGCGAAGGCGGCCCCCUGGACAAAGACUGACGCUCAGGUGCGAAAGCGUGGGGAGCAAACAGGAUUAGAUACCCCAGUAGUCCCUGUCUCUUAUAC
RNAcentral lists this ribosomal RNA (301 nucleotides) under uncultured bacterium. Its description in RNAcentral is "partial 16S ribosomal RNA". It matches the Rfam family "Bacterial small subunit ribosomal RNA", at positions 509 to 807 of the family's 1533-position model. The record is from RNAcentral.